RNAcentral lists this ribosomal RNA (1406 nucleotides) under metagenome. RNAcentral's name for it is "SSU rRNA". It matches the Rfam family "Eukaryotic small subunit ribosomal RNA", at positions 3 to 1358 of the family's 1831-position model. The record is from RNAcentral.
CCUGGUUGAUCCUGCCAGUAGUCAUAUGCUUGUCUCAAAGAUUAAGCCAUGCAUGUCUAAGUAUAAACAACUUUAUACUGUGAAACUGCGAAUGGCUCAUUAAAUCAGUUAUAGUUUAUUUGAUAGUACCUUACUACUUGGAUAACCGUAGUAAUUCUAGAGCUAAUACAUGCGAAAAGACCCGACUUUUUGGAAGGGUUGCAUUUACUAGAUACAAAACCAAUGGCCAGCAAUGGUCACACUUGGUGAUUCAUAAUAACUUUUGCGGAUCGCAUAGCUUUACGCUGGCGACGAAUCAUUCAAAUUUCUGCCCUAUCAACUUUCGAUGGUACGGUAUUGGCCUACCAUGGUUACAACGGGUAACGGGGAAUUAGGGUUCGGUUCCGGAGAGGGGGCCUGAGAAAUGGCCACCACAUCCAAGGAAGGCAGCAGGCGCGCGAAUUACCCAAUCCUGAUACAGGGAGGUAGUGACAAUAAAUAACAAUGCAGGACCUUUACGGGUUUUGUAAUUGGAAUGAGUACAAUUUAAAUCUCUUAACGAGUACCAAUUGGAGGGCAAGUCUGGUGCCAGCAGCCGCGGUAAUUCCAGCUCCAAUAGCGUAUAUUAAAGUUGUUGCAGUUAAAAAGCUCGUAGUUGAAUCUCGGAGUCCUUUUUUCUUCGGAAACGCCGAUGGUCGGAAACCCAGAGCCUCGAAAGGGGUGGAUGGGGCUGUUUACUUGAGGCAGGGCUCACAUCUGAGUUUCUCGAAGGUGGCCUCUGCUCUUCACUGGGUUGGGGGACUUUUUCACAUUCGAGACAUUUACUUUGAAAAAAUUAGAGUGUUCAAAGCAGGCAGUUUCGCUUGAAUACAUUAGCAUGGAAUAAUGGAAUAGGACUUUGGUCUUAUUUUGUUGGUUUCUAGGACUGAAGUAAUGAUUAAUAGGGACAGUUGGGGGCAUUAGUAUUUAAUUGUCAGAGGUGAAAUUCUUGGAUUUAUGAAAGACUAACUUCUGCGAAAGCAUUUGCCAAGGAUGUUUUCAUUAAUCAAGAACGAAAGUUAGGGGAUCGAAGACGAUUAGAUACCGUCGUAGUCCUAACCAUAAACUAUGCCGACUCGGGAUCGGUGAGCGUGUUUUUUUACUACCUCAUCAGCACCGUAGGAGAAAUCAAAGUUUUUGGGUUCUGGGGGGUGUAUGGUCGCAAGGCUGAAACUUAAAGGAAUUGACGGAAGGGCACACCAGGUUUGGAGCCUGCGGCUUAAUUUGACCCAACACGGGGAAACUCACCAGGUCCAGACAUCGUAAGGAUUGACAGAUUGAGAGCUCUUUCUUGAUUCGAUGGAAAGUGGUGCAUGGCCGUUCUUAGUUGGUGGAUUGCUCUGUCUGGUUUACUCCGUUAACGAACGAGACCUUAACCUGCUAAAUAG